RNAcentral lists this ribosomal RNA (301 nucleotides) under uncultured bacterium. Its description in RNAcentral is "partial 16S ribosomal RNA". It matches the Rfam family "Bacterial small subunit ribosomal RNA", at positions 509 to 809 of the family's 1533-position model. The record is from RNAcentral.
CAGUCGCCACGGUAAUACAGAGGGUGCGAGCGUUAAUCGGAUUUACUGGGCGUAAAGCGUGCGUAGGCGGCUUUUUAAGUCGGAUGUGAAAUCCCUGAGCUUAACUUAGGAAUUGCAUUCGAUACUGGGAAGCUAGAGUAUGGGAGAGGAUGGUAGAAUUCCAGGUGUAGCGGUGAAAUGCGUAGAGAUCUGGAGGAAUACCGAUGGCGAAGGCAGCCAUCUGGCCUAAUACUGACGCUGAGGUACGAAAGCAUGGGGAGCAAACAGGAUUAGAUACCCCGGUAGUCCCUGUCUCUUAUAU